Small nucleolar RNA from Macaca fascicularis (crab-eating macaque), 104 nucleotides. The record is from Ensembl. Lineage: Eukaryota; Metazoa; Chordata; Mammalia; Primates; Cercopithecidae.
AUGCUUUUGUAGUCCGUAGGUGUGACGAUUGGACCUUCACACUCAUGGGUGAGAUGCGCCUCUCUCCAGCCUUGUUAGGAUCUUGGGACAUGACCCAUCUAACA